UAAGACAUAUUGACAUGACAUUCUACACAUAAUUCACCAGAAAUUCUCCGGAGUCUCAGCCCCUCCACGUCAUCACGGUACUGUAGCAGCCAAAAAAAAGAUAAAUGUUUCGCAGGUAAAAAAAGGGAGACGGCCGUCUUCACCUUGCGUCCUCCACCUUGUUUCUCUCCGCCCUCCUCCCUCCCAGAUUUCCGUCGGCUUGCCACUGAUUUCGUUCUCCUUGUUUCCUCUGUAUGACGCUUUCCUCUUGGUCACCUCUGAUGCCAUUGGUGCCCUGAUUUUGGUUCCUACCUUCGGUGCCUCGGGUCUCGCGGUGCCGUCAGCCUGACUGUCGCUUGCAGCUUCCAUAGGUGGGCUCGUCGGACGGAUUGCGCCGCCGUCUUCCGCCAGGCCGGUUCUUGGGUGCCUGCGGCCCGGCGUGCCUGCCGUCGUUGCCUGGCCGUUGCUUGCGGCCUCCGUGGGUGGGCUCACCAGACGGAUUGCGCUGCCGUGUUCCGUUGUUCCAGUUCCCGGGUCGUGCUGGCCCGGCGUGCGUACUGUUGUGCGCUGUGUUCCGUCCUCGUACGCGGUGGUGCGGCCAAUGACCAGGUUCCUGUUCUUUCUGCUGGAUCGAUCUCUUCGUCUAUUUCUUUCUGGUUUGUGCUCUGCUUCUUCCUAAAUUUCUGCUUGUUGUGUGAAAUUGAUUUCGGAUCUAUUUGUAUACAAUGCUUACACAGAUCACGCGUGUUUAUUGCUCGUGCCUGUGCGUUUGGAUGUACUGUGUCAACAAACUGGUUGUUGGAUGAUUGAAUUUGGGGUACCCUGUUAUUUUGAUGCCAUAGUAAUAUAUGUGGAUGCUACGGGCAAAUGAGUAUGGGCUAAAGAUAAGGCAGUCCUAUGUUCAUAUGAGGCUUAAAAAAAUUCUAUUUUCGAUAAAAACCUUUGACUUAUUCUUCCUUCCCUUGUUCAGCCUAUGAUGAGAAAUUUAUACCCAUUGCCAACGACAUGAUCUGAUAUCUAUUCGCUUGUGAGGGACUAGGCAUGUACUAAGCAUGUCUUGAGGCUCCAAGUUGGUAAACAAAUGAUGAAUGGUAUGUUUUUUAGGCUUCAAAAAAAAACCUAUCUUCAAUGAAAAUUUUUGAUUUAUUCUUCCUUCCCUUCUUCAACCUAUGAUGAAAAAUUUGUACCCAUUGCUAAAGGAUAUGAUCUUAUGUCCAUUCGCUUGUGAGGUACUAGGCAUGUCUUCAGGCUCCAAGUUGCUUAACAGAUGAUGAAUGGUAUGUUUCUGAGGCUUAAAAAAAUCCUAUUUUCAAUGAAAAUUAAAAGAUAACUUUUGCGCUGCAGUAACAGAAAAUUUACAUACGUAUACUUUUACCAAAUGUAUCUGCAUGGUGUUCAAGUGGAAGGCAGAGUAUUUCGAUGUCAACAAUUCGGUUGUAGGCUCAAAUGGACUAAACCAAAUAUCGGGUAUGAAAGAUAAAACAUCUAGGGAUAUCGGAUAAUGAAACACGAUGCAAGGGGAGAUGCUACUCGCAAAAACUCAGCUUGUGCUUUAUGCUUGUUGUCUGCAGCCUGUUAGCAGCCCACUUACCUGCUGCUGCGAACUACACUUGACCCUUGCUGAGUUUUAAUCCAUAGAAAACCAUGCGCGUCAAAAAGAGUGGAUUGGUGACUAUAAUCUGCCGUUUAGAUUUAAAAGUGUUACUGUGUCAGACCAAUGGAAGCAGCUCUCCGAAUUUAUUUGGGUCAAUCGAAACACAUCAUUUAUCAGGUGCAUGAUCAUAGCAUGCUUGCCGAAAAAACCCAGAACACUCCCAUUUCAAUUUCAAGGCUGGCUUCAGUAAGGAAAAGAAGCAAGGGCAUAUACAACCACAUUUGCUACUGCAAAUUAUCCAUCGCUUAAUCAGUCAUAGGAGAAAAACCACAACUUGGAUUACUUGAGUCAGCUGCAGUUCGUGUAAAUUUAUUACGUGUGCCUUUUCCAAUGUAAACAAUAUAUGCAGUGUAUAUGUAUAUAUCUCUACAUAUAUAUGCCUAACUAAACAUCUUGCAUACUCUGCAAACCCGCGAGUUACUCUCUGCCACUCGGAGUUCACCAUAAGUAUUACUAAGAUUAUGUAAUCACUUUGUGGAAUAUAUGUACCCAUGUA
Molecule: long non-coding RNA, 2129 nt
Organism: Sorghum bicolor (sorghum)
Lineage: Eukaryota; Viridiplantae; Streptophyta; Magnoliopsida; Poales; Poaceae
Exons: 5
Source: RefSeq, a predicted model, not a curated record